ACUGUGGUUUUCACUCACUAUCACACCAAAGGCUGCACUGGCAGUAUUUCCAGGUAUUCUCCUGUGUGCUAAAGUGUGAAACAACGCUGUUUUCAUCUGUAUGUGGGUAGCUCACUUCUGUUGGGUUCUAUUAUUUUCUCCUGUGCUUCUCCAUGUAGCUUCAGCCAGAAGGCCCAGCCACAAGGGCCAAUAGAGAGACUGAGGGACAGUCACAGUCAGCAGCACUCAGAACUACAUCAAAGAAUGUCUUAAUUAAUCUGCCGAUGAAACAGGAGGAAAGGGUGCUUGAGAUUUUGAGAACUUUACACUUUUUUGAGUUUUUGGCAUAUGGUUGAAAACCAAAGAGUUUGGAUUUCAAUUUCCUUCCACAGAGGAAACACUUACAGUUGGAUCAUCACACCCAGAGUCACUUGUCAUAGACCCCAACCUCUUCCAGAGUCACACAUCAUAUACCCUACCCUGCUCCCAGUCUCUGCCCUUCCUGCUUUUGUUCUUAGCUUCCUUUCCAUAGCCUCUGUUUCAAGACUUUUCCUGCGCACCUUAUUCUAAUUCACCUGACGUCUCUACUCCCUCAC
RNAcentral lists this long non-coding RNA (575 nucleotides) under Rattus norvegicus (Norway rat). RNAcentral describes it as "long non-coding RNA NONRATT013663". Lineage: Eukaryota; Metazoa; Chordata; Mammalia; Rodentia; Muridae. The record is from RNAcentral.